RNAcentral lists this ribosomal RNA (253 nucleotides) under uncultured bacterium. Its description in RNAcentral is "partial 16S ribosomal RNA". It matches the Rfam family "Bacterial small subunit ribosomal RNA", at positions 524 to 776 of the family's 1533-position model. The record is from RNAcentral.
UACAGAGGGUGCGAGCGUUGUCCGGAGUUACUGGGCGUAAAGGGUGCGCAGGCGGCCUGGCGCGUCGCGAGUGAAAUCUCCUGGCUCAACUGGGAGGGUGGUCGCGAGACGGCUGGGCUUGAGGCUCGGUGAGGGGCGUGGAAUUCCGGGUGGAGCGGUGAAAUGCGUAGAGAUCCGGAGGAACACCGACGGCGUAGGCAGCGCCCUAGACGAGACCUGACGCUCAGGCACGAAAGCGCGGGGAGCGAACAGG